CAUUUAUAUUAAUUCACUGUGUAACACGAUUUUUGUUCCUGGCAAAUAAUUGUCUUUUUCCAACUACAUUUAUUGCAAAACAAUAGAAAAAUUAUUCAUGCUAAACU
This is a long non-coding RNA of Thalassophryne amazonica, 107 nucleotides long. RefSeq lists it as uncharacterized. Lineage: Eukaryota; Metazoa; Chordata; Actinopteri; Batrachoidiformes; Batrachoididae. The transcript is spliced from 5 exons. The record is from RefSeq and is a predicted model, not a curated record.